Molecule: ribosomal RNA, 493 nt
Filed under: uncultured bacterium
Lineage: Bacteria
Description: partial 16S ribosomal RNA
Rfam family: Bacterial small subunit ribosomal RNA
Source: RNAcentral
AUUGAACGCUGGCGGCAUGCCUUACACAUGCAAGUCGAACGGUAACAGGUUAAGCUGACGAGUGGCGAACGGGUGAGUAAUAUAUCGGAACGUGCCCAGUCGUGGGGGAUAACGUAGCGAAAGCUACGCUAAUACCGCAUACGAUCUACGGAUGAAAGCGGGGGAUCGCAAGACCUCGCGCGAUUGGAGCGGCCGAUAUCAGAUUAGGUUGUUGGUGAGGUAAAAGCUCACCAAGCCUGCGAUCUGUAGCUGGUCUGAGAGGACGACCAGCCACACUGGAACUGAGACACGGCCCAGACUCCUGCGGGAGGCAGCAGUGGGGAAUUUUGGACAAUGGACGCAAGUCUGAUCCAGCAAUGCCGCGUGCAGGACGAAGGCCUUCGGGUUGUAAACUGCUUUUGUACGGAACGAAACGGUGAGCUCUAAUACAGUUUGCUAAUGACGGUACCGUAAGAAUAAGCACCGGCUAACUACGUGCCAGCCGCCGCGGUAA